GCGAGCGGCGGACGGGUGAGUAAUGCCUAGGAAUCUGCCUGUUAGUGGGGGAUAACUCGGGGAAACUCGAGCUAAUACCGCAUACGUCCUACGGGAGAAAGUGGGGGACCUUCGGGCCUCACGCUAACAGAUGAGCCUAGGUCGGAUUAGCUAGUUGGUGGGGUAAAGGCCUACCAAGGCGACGAUCCGUAGCUGGUCUGAGAGGAUGAUCAGCCACACUGGAACUGAGACACGGUCCAGACUCCUACGGGAGGCAGCAGUGGUC
Molecule: ribosomal RNA, 265 nt
Filed under: Pseudomonas sp. CR6(Thailand)
Lineage: Bacteria; Pseudomonadati; Pseudomonadota; Gammaproteobacteria; Pseudomonadales; Pseudomonadaceae
Description: partial 16S ribosomal RNA
Rfam family: Bacterial small subunit ribosomal RNA
Source: RNAcentral